This 1922-nucleotide long non-coding RNA is filed under the name Mus musculus (house mouse). Its description in RNAcentral is "long non-coding RNA chr10:81582936-81584858". Lineage: Eukaryota; Metazoa; Chordata; Mammalia; Rodentia; Muridae. The record is from RNAcentral.
ACAGUUCAGUGAGCAAGCCAGCCGGGCCGGGCCAGGGCAGUCUGCAUUUUCUUAUUCAUUUUGUUUGCUUGCUUUUGUUUGGUUUGGUUUUGCUUGUUGGUUUUUGGUUUUGUUUUGUUUGGGAGACAAUAUUUCUUAGCCUCCAACUCUUUACGUAGUCUAGGAUGACACUGAAUCCCAACCCUCCUGCCUCCCUUACCACAAAGGACCUUUUUUUUUUUUUGAUUCUUUGGGCUUCUCUUUUCCCCUCCCACACGUCUCUGUUGAGCCUCAGGAAACUACUUUAAAGCAGCUAGUUGACCAAGCUGGGCAAAGAAAUAGGACUGAGUCAGGUUACUCGCUUUCUGCAAUGGUGACCCCCACAACCACAGCACCGGCUCCUCGCUGGUCUAAGACUUGGUACCAGUGUUAAGUGCUCCUAGAAUCCAGCAGAGGCGUCCACUAGAUGCACGGAAGUCUAACUCUCUCCCUGCAUCUUGCCCAGACCCUCUGUCCUCCAAGUUACCCAGGGACAGAGAUUUGUUUCUAAGCCUCCCUACCCCUGCAGGUUACCAUGACAACUGCCAGCCACCGUGGGCUCCCACUUUAUCUAAACUCCUCCCCACUCAGAGAGACCUUGGGGAUGCAAAGCCACUCUAGCCAGCUGGGGAAGCCAUCAAGGGCAUCCCUCAGACCACGAGGGUCACCGUCACCCUGUGUGGGAGACAGACACAGGCCAGAAGGCAUGGCGGCUCCCCAUGGUGGCACAUGUCAGCCCAACACUGAGAGGUUGGAGGUGGAAGAACAGGAAUGUAAAGUCAGUCCAGGGCUAGCCUUGGCUACCUGAGCCCUGUCUCAUGAAACAUGCUCCCAAAAAGAGGUGGGUGACAUGUUUCACCUAGGGCUGAGGACCCCUCUUGGGCCAAUAGUCCCAUUGCUCUGGGAGCUGUGAUUUUUGUUAAUUGCCUUUUGAGACAGGGUCUCGCUAUAUAGACCAGAUUGGCCCAGGACUCAGAGAUCCACCCACCUCUGGAGAACUAGGAUUAAAGGUUGCACCACCACAUGUGGCCAUGUCUAAAUUAAAACAUUUUUUAAAGCCAGGUGGUGGUGGUGCGUGUCUUUAAUCACGGCACACAGGAGGAUCUCUGAAUCUGAGGACAGCAUGGUCUACAGAGUGAGUUAGAAAGACAGAGCUAAACAGAAAGACACUGUCUUGAAAAACCAAAUAAAAAAUUUUUUUUUUUUAAAAACUUUGUGUGUGUGUGUAUCUACACAAGUGCUGUAGUAUGCAUUUGGUGGUUAGCGUCAACUCUGGGGAGUCUGUUCUCUCCUUCUACUGUGUGGGUUUUGGGGAUUCAAUACAGAGUGUAACUCUUGGCUAAAAUCACUUUUACUUGCUGAGCCAUUUUGCCAGUCCAAUAGCCUCUAACGUUGCUGCUGCUAUCUAUUGGUAACACAAUUGCUGUCCCCAAGGGCCCCCACCUCUAUGCAUGAACCCUGUACUGUGGACCCAAUUAACACCCACAAUCCUGAGGAUGUAGUUAUACCCCUGACCCAGUCACACCCAGCUUUCCUCUGUGUGCCCACCAAAUGUCUGAGAGAUUGGCUGGCCACAGUACAUGUGCCCUCGAUCCCCUCUGAUGACUUCAGCCCGCUAUGGUGAUUCGUGGCCUUUCUUUCUCCACAGAACGAUCUUCCCACAGGCACUCCUGCCUCCAGGUCAUGUGGUACCUCUCCACCCCAGGACUCGUCCACCCCGGGGCCCAGCUCAGCCAGUCACCUCUGCCAGCUGGCGGCUCAGCCGGCAGCACCCACAGACAGCAUCGGUGAGUCCCCACCUGCCCAGCAUAGCUCCCCCAAACAGAAAUGAUGAGAGUUGGCACACGACUUUAAUCCUGGGUGGGUUAGAGGCCACCCUGGGCUACAUAGUGAAACCAUGUCUG